Molecule: microRNA precursor, 67 nt
Filed under: Bombyx mori (domestic silkworm)
Lineage: Eukaryota; Metazoa; Arthropoda; Insecta; Lepidoptera; Bombycidae
Description: mir-2774 microRNA precursor family
Rfam family: mir-2774 microRNA precursor family
Source: Rfam by way of RNAcentral
ACAACAUUCAGACCGUCGGUUUACCGGGCAAUAUCACCGGAUCAGUGGAAGCUCUUCCCUCCGUCGU